This 569-nucleotide ribosomal RNA is filed under the name Phomopsis sp. C_1_BESC_294i. RNAcentral's name for it is "eukaryotic LSU rRNA". It matches the Rfam family "Eukaryotic large subunit ribosomal RNA", at positions 1 to 584 of the family's 3401-position model. Lineage: Eukaryota; Fungi; Ascomycota; Sordariomycetes; Diaporthales; Diaporthaceae. The record is from RNAcentral.
ACCUCGGAUCAGGUAGGAAUACCCGCUGAACUUAAGCAUAUCAAUAAGCGGAGGAAAAGAAACCAACAGGGAUUGCCCUAGUAACGGCGAGUGAAGCGGCAACAGCUCAAAUUUGAAAUCUGGCUUCGGCCCGAGUUGUAAUUUGCAGAGGAUGUUUCUGGCGCGGUGCCUUCCGAGUUCCCUGGAACGGGACGCCACAGAGGGUGAGAGCCCCGUAUGGUUGGACACCAAGCCUGUGUGAAACUCCUUCAACGAGUCGAGUAGUUUGGGAAUGCUGCUCUAAAUGGGAGGUAAAUCUCUUCUAAAGCUAAAUACCGGCCAGAGACCGAUAGCGCACAAGUAGAGUGAUCGAAAGAUGAAAAGCACCUUGAAAAGGGGGUUAAAUAGUACGUGAAAUUGUUGAAAGGGAAGCACUUAUGACCAGACUUGGGCCGGGCGGCUCAUCAGGGGUUCUCCCCUGUGCAUUCCGCCCGGCACAGGCCAGCAUCGGUUUUCGCGGGGGGAUAAGACCGUCAGGAACGUAGCACCCUCCGGGGUGUGUUAUAGCCUGGCGGACGAUACUCCCGCGG